CAUGGUCAUGAUUAAACUCUACUAUCCUUUCUUUCUUAACUCUUCGCCUCUCUAACCUUAAACGAAAUCUUAAUCUUCCCGAGACCUUAACAUCUUCCUUCAGUCACUCAAAAGGUAUGUCCUUUAAUUGUUGUUCUUGAAGAGAUUAAGAAUGGAUAAACUUAAUUUGUGUUUGUUUUUUUUGUUUUGAUUUUUUGGGUUAUUUUUUGUCUGUUUUGAUUGCUAUUGUUAAUGACACAAAUCCUUAGAGAGAACCUCUCUCUCAAUCUCAUCGCACAAAGUCCUCAUCUGUGUUCAUCAUCCAUUGCUAUCCAUCAUUCUUCUUCACAACCGUUCUUGGUUAAUAACAAUCUCUCUCUCUCUCUCUCUCUCUCUCUCUCUCUCUCUCUCUCUCUCUCUCUCAUUGAAUUCCCAGAACAGAUUGAAACCGGAAUUGUAUCUCUUUCAUGCACUCCAUAGUGUUUUAUAUUGGGGGUUAAGUUUAAUCUGCACAACUCUAAUUCGCCCAAAAGUAAACGAAUUAUCUUCCAAAAUUAUUGUCAGUCUAUAUUAUUUCCAGGUAUUAUGUUUUAGAAUCAACAAAGUGAUCAUGCAACUAUAAAAUGCUUUUAUAUCAUCGUUAUUUUUGGUUUUCAAUUAUAAAAUUUAGAUUCCAUAAGAAUAUAUCUUACUUUGGUUGUGCUACAGGCUUGCAAUACCAUACAACUAUUGUACUGGGGAUUCGUCAAUUCAGAAGCUGUUUACCUUAUGCACCAAUUCUUAAUUGAAGAGCUAUUGUAUCAUCCAAAGGUAAUUCAAUUAUUCAUCGAAAGCCCUAUUUCAUCAUCAAUUUGUUGUUAAUCUAAUAAUUAAAUUUAGAUAGAAUUCACUCUCCAAGUCUUGAAGACUUGGACUGUUUGAAUUUACUUUUUCAAAAAGAUUAGGGGGUUAGAUAGACCCCAAUCUGUAUUCAUUAAACUCUCAAGUACAUUGUUUGGUUUACAUCCUCCUCAAUUACAUUUUGCAAUUCCAUGCUCAGAGGAGGAAUAAAAAACAUCACAUUGUUAUCAUCAUACUUACACGCCUUAGACAAAAGGUCUUCGGCUCUAUUACACUCUCUGUAGAUAUGGAAAAUAGAAACAUUAGUGUACUGCAUUGUCUUCUUAGUUUAUUUACAAAGUCAGCUGCUUGCAGUACCAGGGAGGUUUCUCUCCGUCAUUCAAGAUAUUUGUAGCUCUCAACGAGUCGGUUCCCAGUUGAAUACCACUAGAGCCUAGGGUAGUUCCAGCUUUCAACCCCAUCUCAAUGGCCUUCAGCUCUUGGGUUAGCACUGAUUUUGAAUUGUAGCUUCCUGUAAAUGCCAGCUUUACUCCACCAUAGUGAUCUCUGAAUAGACCACCAAAUCCACUACCUUCUUUUCUUACAGAACCAUCAGAAUAGUUCCUGAUAGUCUUGAUAAGAUAUCUUUAUUUUUGCAAACUGUUGCAGUAUUAUCUAUCCGCUCACUACCACAUAUGUCUACUAUUGCUGGAUGUGAAGAUGUAUAGGCAGGAAGAUCCUUUUCAAACACUCUCACUCUGACACUUUGAUGACAUCUGAAAAAAAGAGUGAGAGAUAUUUUGCUCUGCUCCUUUAACAAUGCAGUUAUGCCUAUUGCAAGCUUUCCCAGUUUCCAAAUAUACCAUGAAUAUGAUUUCCUUUAUGCUCGAACUCCCAAUGUAGGCUGUAAUCACAUUCCCGUCACUGUCUCUCAACAAACCUCUAUACCCUGCACCUGAAUCAGUGAACAGCCCCAUCAGAGUUAAGUUUGACAAUCCCUUGAGUUGAUGAGUACCAUUUUACAUGUCUUGAUGAGUUUCUUUUUGUACUUUGCCUCUCCAUCAAUACUUUAUUCUCAAUAGAGUCCUGCACCUCCUCGAAUUUGUUCUGAAUAUAGGCCUUUGUUUCUCUGAUAGUUUUAUCUCUUAAUACUUCAGCUGGUAUGAUCUUUUGCUGAAAUCGUCAUUGGUUCCUCUCCCUCCAAAUGUAAUAAACCUCUCUAAGGAUUCAUGAACUGAAUCUUAUACAGUUAUUCUCAAUAGAGUCCUGCCCCUCCACACUGUACUAGAAUACUGGCAUUCGAAGAAAAGAGAUUAAAAAUAUUACAAAGUGUAAGCAGAAUAGGCAACAUGGAAACAAUAAAAAUAAAUAACCACACAUAUAUAAUCAGUGAUGAUCCUUGCUAAGGAUCAAUCCAAAAGUGCUACUGCAUCCUUGCUAGAUCUCCACAUUGGUGCUUAAACAAUUAAACCUCAAAUAAUUAAUAUACGUCCUUUUCGUUCGAGAUCAUCCUACAUUGGUUAAUGUAUACCUCAUCAAAACACAAUUUUUUUCACAUGUCAGAUGUGAUCCAGAAUUGUUCUCAACACCAAACAGAUCAUUGUGCAGACAACGAGAUCAAAAAUAAUCUUGCUUAGAAAUAUGGUAUUUGAUAUGUGCAGACUCGACUGAAUUAGCUGUUGCGUCUAUAACUAUUAUAGCAUACAAAAUUCGUUUUGAUUAAUCAACAGACUCGACUAAAUUAGCUGUUGCAGACUCGACUGAAUUAGCUGUUGCGUCUAUAACUAUUAUACCAUAGAAAAGACACAAACGUGGUAGCUUUCUAAAAUAACCCUGGCUAAUGUAUGUAAAUGUGUUACCUUGACCUGUAAGUAACUUAUAUAUUUUUUUAAGAAAAAAAUAUCAAAUAAAAAUAAAAUUAUAAACUGACAAAAUAAAAUUUUUCUAUAGUUAUAAGGUCAGUAUGGAUAUCGAAGAUAAUGACUCAUCGGUCAUGAUGAUAGCUGCAUUUGAUGAGGCAAUUCGCAAUGUUUUGGAUAUUACACCCGAAGAAAUGAUUACUGCAAGUUCACAUGUAAGCAGUUGGAAAAUAUAUUCACUAUAUAUUGCAAAAUACAUUCUUAACUAACAAACUAAUAUAUCAAUGUGAUAAUGCAGGCAAAUGGAAACAAUAUCGUCAAACAGAUUUUUGAAGAAAUGGUUGGAAAGAAGACGAGUUUCUAUGUUCAAAUUAAUGGAUACAAUUGGUCAACAAAGGACACAUCUUCUAUGUCAGUAAUGAAAAUAGAAGAAAUACUAGAUUUAAGAAAAAAGGCCAAAGAACUACUCAAUGCCCACAAGGUAUGAAAAAUUAAAAUGAUAUUAUGUUUUCUAGAGAUAUAAUGUUUUCUUUAUUCAAAACUUUGUCGGCCCAAAUUUGUUGAUAGAUGCACAGUUCCAAUUUGUGCACAGUUCGUCUAACUCCAAUCUGUGCACAUUUCAGUCAAACAUUAUAAUUAAUGCACAACCAUACAUUAUAAUUAAUGUCGGACCAAAUGUUUGCUUUAAUCAGUGCACAGUUCCUUUUUCUGAAUUUUGCAAAAACAUUCUCUUGCUUUAUCAUUCUCUGCUUUAGUCAGACAGUCCAAUUUGUGUAGACUAGCUGAUCACUCUCCAUUUAUAAGAUGUGUUGAAUUAUGUUAAUGGAGUUGAUCCUUUUAAAAUAAUUCUGUUAAAGAAUUAUCUUCUUAUUAAUUGACUCUGUUUACUUAGAGGUUCCAAAUCUGCUGAGGUCUAUAUGUACUAUAUAUCUCUGUUCCUUCAAGUGGUACCGUGGUAUUAAAACAUGGUCAACUAACAGAAGACCCAAAAUAGUGGAACUGUGGUAUUGACCUGACAGUGAAUGUUUUCAGUCUUUCUCUUGUAAGCUUAUGCUUUGGGUUUAACCUGACCAGUGACCAUGCACAUCAUUUCUAUGUGUUUCUCUUUUGCUAUUCAUAUUAUCAUUUUCCACUGCUUUGAGGAGUAGGAUUAAUGUAAUUUUUCAUAUACACUAUGCCACACAGCACAACUGCACAAGAGAGUUCAUUAAGAAUGAAUUGAAGAGUCAUAACAUGUUCUGCAUAGACCGCAUCUUUCCGACUUGCAAGGAUUGAUUUUAGAGUAACAGUCUGCAGUAUUAGAAAUUACUUCAAUGCAUAGAUGGAAGUUGUUGACAUGCUUCAAUUUCAAGAAUUGUUCCUUUUAUAACAUUUCUGUGGUUAUUGGAUCUUGAUUUCCUUACACACGCAAACAUACUAACUUGCUUGUAUAAAGUAAGUUGUAUAUGUUCUGGUCUUUUUCCUGCAUCACAUAAGAGAAAUUCCAACUCUUUCUAGGGAAAUUCAGGGUUCGGUUUGACCAUAAUGAUUUAUUUAUUUUUCGCAAUUUUACUCCCAUUCAAAGGUUCUGCACAGGUCUUUCCUUCGUUCUUGCUGCCGCUGAAGUGAGCAUAAUUGUACUAAUAAAAGAAUGUGUGACACUCAAGCUGUUUACAUAGACACAUAGAGAGAACACUCGCCACUCUCACUAAUCAUCUGCACAACUUACUCGUGCAAUUACAAUUAAUUAAUCGAAACGAUACCAGUGUAUAUGUAGAUUUUCCCCUGACUAGCUAUUCAGUCAUCCUGUCUGCGGCCAUAUAUUAGUACUCAACAGGUCAGCCAUGGACACACAGGUUAGAUAAAGUAAAAAAGUAACUCUUUAGUAUUUCCAGAAUGCAGUAUAGCUCACUAUAAAGGUAGAAGUUUGGUACUUACCAACCAUUCUGCCUUUGAGUCGUGUCCUUCGUAUGACUAGGAUGGAUGUGUAUGACUAGGGGGGGUUAAGAACUACUCAAUGCCCACAAGGUAUAAAAAAUUAAAAUGAUAUUAUUUUAUUGCACUAACCAUACUUUUGUCCUGCUUCUUACCAUACUUUUGUCCUGCUUCUUCCCAUUCAUUUGUGUAGUGAGUGUAAAGGAUGAAAAUUCUUUUAUUUGGUAAAAUUCAAAAUACUAAACAUACUCAUUUUCAUCUACGUACAGGUGAUACUAGGACCACC
RNAcentral lists this long non-coding RNA (4857 nucleotides) under Aquilegia coerulea. RNAcentral's name for it is "long non-coding RNA (ACOE_LNC000517)". The record is from RNAcentral. Lineage: Eukaryota; Viridiplantae; Streptophyta; Magnoliopsida; Ranunculales; Ranunculaceae.